Long non-coding RNA from Fundulus heteroclitus (mummichog), 465 nucleotides. RefSeq lists it as uncharacterized. The transcript has 3 exons. The record is from RefSeq and is a predicted model, not a curated record. Lineage: Eukaryota; Metazoa; Chordata; Actinopteri; Cyprinodontiformes; Fundulidae.
ACUCAGCUGGCAGGGCUGUGCAGCUUGCUGCCAGCUCCGUUACCUCUGCUCCUUCACAGGUGUUCGUGGUUGGACGGUGGGCGGAGUGCGCACACCUGCAGCUCGUUCAGCAGCAUCUGAGCGUUCUAUAAGAACUGCGUCCGAACAGCGAGAGGACGCCAGAGUGUUUUCGUUGCGGUUUCCCUGUGUCUACGUGAACCCCGAAUGACUCUAGAGUUCCUCGGCUCGACCAGACGUACCUCAGCUCUGGACGCGAGUCACACCAACUCUCUCUCCGGUUCCUCUCGCUGCUCUGGAUCCCUGGACGCCCUCGUUGCUGCUCGGACCCCCUCGCCCCGCUCUCCGUCGACCCGAACGCCUGCUCAAGACAAUCCAGCUGAGUCCUCCUUACCGUCUCCCCGCUCGGUUAACCAAUCCUCGUGACUGGUCUGGUCCCUUGGUCCCGGGAUAAGUUCGAGCCACCAU